Manacus vitellinus (golden-collared manakin) is the source of this 302-nucleotide long non-coding RNA. RefSeq lists it as uncharacterized. The record is from RefSeq and is a predicted model, not a curated record. The transcript is spliced from 3 exons. NCBI's taxonomy places the organism in Eukaryota, Metazoa, Chordata, Aves, Passeriformes, Pipridae.
AACUCUGAGAGAAUCUGAAUGAUUUAGGUUGGCAAAGACCUUUAAGAUCAUCCAGUCCAACCUUUACCACUGCCAAGGCCACCACAUUCAGCUUCUUUGUAGGAAUGUGCCACAUGGAUUUCCUUCUUCCUCUGGUGGAUUGUACAGUGGGUUUAAACUGCCUCGUGUGUGGUGAUGACCCACAAAGACCCUCUCAGACAUGGACCCUGGACCAUCCCAUCCUGACUGUUCACAGGUCAAUCUCCACUUAUUUGAACAGCAACUCCCCAUAAAAUCCUAGUGCAGCCCUCUUUACAUGCAGG